CGGGUGAGUAACACGUGGAUAACUACCUAUAAGACUGGGAUAACUUCGGGAAACCGGAGCUAAUACCGGAUAAUAUAUUGAACCGCAUGGUUCAAUAGUGAAAGACGGUUUUGCUGUCACUUAUAGAUGGAUCCGCGCCGCAUUAGCUAGUUGGUAAGGUAACGGCUUACCAAGGCAACGAUGCGUAGCCGACCUGAGAGGGUGAUCGGCCACACUGGAACUGAGACACGGUCCAGACUCCUACGGGAGGCAGCAGCA
RNAcentral lists this ribosomal RNA (258 nucleotides) under uncultured Staphylococcus sp. Its description in RNAcentral is "partial 16S ribosomal RNA". It matches the Rfam family "Bacterial small subunit ribosomal RNA", at positions 103 to 355 of the family's 1533-position model. Lineage: Bacteria; Bacillati; Bacillota; Bacilli; Caryophanales; Staphylococcaceae. The record is from RNAcentral.